This 482-nucleotide ribosomal RNA is filed under the name Anaticola crassicornis (slender duck louse). RNAcentral describes it as "partial 16S ribosomal RNA". It matches the Rfam family "Bacterial large subunit ribosomal RNA", at positions 1819 to 2597 of the family's 2925-position model. Lineage: Eukaryota; Metazoa; Arthropoda; Insecta; Psocodea; Philopteridae. The record is from RNAcentral.
CGCCUUGUUAGAAGAAUACAAGGUCACUUCUGCUCAGUGCUUUAGUAAAUAGCUGCAGUAUCCUAACUGUACUAAGGUAGCAUAAUAAUUUGUCUCUUAAUUGGGGUCUAGAAUGAAUGAAUUCACGAGAGAUUAACUGUCUCUACAGUAAUAUAUGAACUUUAUCUUUAAGUAAAAAAGCUUAGUUAAACUGGAGGGACGACAAGACCCUAUAGAUCUUUACUGUUCAAUAUAACGUUGUUACCUUGAGCAAGGUUGUCUGGGAUGGACCUCAAAACUAAUUAACUUUAGAUAAAUAAACAAUAAUUAAUUAAAUUAAUGAUCCUUGGAUAGAUAAUUAGAAAAAGUUACCUUAGGGAUAACAGCACAAUUAUUACUAUUUAGACCAUUUGAAUAGUGAAGGUUGUGACCUCGAUGUUGAAUUAAGUUUACUGAUAGAUGAAGAAAGUUAUCAAGUUAGUCUGCUCGACUAUUAAAUACUU